Molecule: ribosomal RNA, 238 nt
Filed under: uncultured bacterium
Lineage: Bacteria
Description: partial 16S ribosomal RNA
Rfam family: Bacterial small subunit ribosomal RNA
Source: RNAcentral
CGGCGGACGGGUGAGUAACGCGUGGGUAACCUACCCUGUACACACGGAUAACAUACCGAAAGGUAUGCUAAUACGGGAUAAUAUAUUUGAGAGGCAUCUCUUGAAUAUCAAAGGUGAGCCAGUACAGGAUGGGCCCGCGUCUGAUUAGCUAGUUGGUAAGGUAACGGCUUACCAAGGCGACGAUCAGUAGCCGACCUGAGAGGGUGAUCGGCCACAUUGGAACUGAGACACGGUCCAA